Molecule: ribosomal RNA, 439 nt
Filed under: uncultured Pediococcus sp.
Lineage: Bacteria; Bacillati; Bacillota; Bacilli; Lactobacillales; Lactobacillaceae
Description: bacterial SSU rRNA
Rfam family: Bacterial small subunit ribosomal RNA
Source: RNAcentral
CCUACGGGAGGCAGCAGUAGGGAAUCUUCCACAAUGGACGCAAGUCUGAUGGAGCAACGCCGCGUGAGUGAAGAAGGGUUUCGGCUCGUAAAGCUCUGUUGUUAAAGAAGAACGUGGGUGAGAGUAACUGUUCACCCAGUGACGGUAUUUAACCAGAAAGCCACGGCUAACUACGUGCCAGCAGCCGCGGUAAUACGUAGGUGGCAAGCGUUAUCCGGAUUUAUUGGGCGUAAAGCGAGCGCAGGCGGUCUUUUAAGUCUAAUGUGAAAGCCUUCGGCUCAACCGAAGAAGUGCAUUGGAAACUGGGAGACUUGAGUGCAGAAGAGGACAGUGGAACUCCAUGUGUAGCGGUGAAAUGCGUAGAUAUAUGGAAGAACACCAGUGGCGAAGGCGGCUGUCUGGUCUGUAACUGACGCUGAGGCUCGAAAGCAUGGGUAGC